UGUCCAUUUGGAGAUUUAAAUGGUCUAGCCUGCUCACUGAUAAAUUAUUGAAGAGCCGCGGUACUUUGACCGUGCAAAGGUAGCAUAAUCAUUAGGGUCUUAAUUAGAACCUGGAAUGAAUGGUUGGACAAAAGAAAAGCUGUUUCUAAUACAUAAAUUGAAAUUUACUUUUAAGUGAAAAGGCUUAAAUAAGUUGAAGGGACGAUAAGACCCUAUAAAGCUUUAUAUAUUAUUUAGAUCUAGUUAAUUCAAGUAAAUAACAACUAAGUUUAAUUAUAUUAUUUUGUUGGGGCGAUGAAAGUAUAAAUAAAGUUAACUGCUUAUUAGAAACACAAUCAUAGUUGAGUUAACUCAAUGAUCCUUUUUAAAGAUUAAAAGAUUAAGUUACUUUAGGGAUAACAGCGUUAUUUUUCUUAAGAGUUCAUAUCGAAAGAAGAGAUUGCGACCUCGAUGUUGAAUUAAAGUGUCUAUAUAAUGCAGAAGUUAUAAUAGAAG
RNAcentral lists this ribosomal RNA (495 nucleotides) under Xanthidae sp. 01093D. RNAcentral describes it as "partial large subunit ribosomal RNA". It matches the Rfam family "Bacterial large subunit ribosomal RNA", at positions 1828 to 2574 of the family's 2925-position model. RNAcentral also lists the same sequence under 4 other names. The record is from RNAcentral. Lineage: Eukaryota; Metazoa; Arthropoda; Malacostraca; Decapoda; Xanthidae.